This 27-nucleotide non-coding RNA is filed under the name Mus musculus (house mouse). Lineage: Eukaryota; Metazoa; Chordata; Mammalia; Rodentia; Muridae. The record is from RNAcentral.
UAAAACUGAUCGCCAACCUCAACAUGC